CUACGUAGGGUGCAAGCGUUAAUCGGAAUUACUGGGCGUAAAGCGCGCGUAGGUGGUUCGUUAAGUUGGAUGUGAAAGCCCCGGGCUCAACCUGGGAACUGCAUCCAAAACUGGCGAGCUAGAGUAUAGCAGAGGGUGGUGGAAUUUCCUGUGUAGCGGUGAAAUGCGUAGAUAUAGGAAGGAACACCAGUGGCGAAGGCGACCACCGGGGCUAAUACUGACACUGAGGUGCGAAAGCGUGGGGAGCAAACAGGAUUAGAUCCCCGGGUAGUCCACGCCGUAAACGAUGUCGACUAGCCGUUGGGAUCCUUGAGAUCUUAGUGGCGCAGCUAACGCAUUAAGUCGACCGCCUGGGGAGUACGGCCGCAAGGUUAAAACUCAAAUGAAUUGACGGGG
RNAcentral lists this ribosomal RNA (396 nucleotides) under uncultured bacterium. RNAcentral's name for it is "partial 16S ribosomal RNA". It matches the Rfam family "Bacterial small subunit ribosomal RNA", at positions 523 to 918 of the family's 1533-position model. The record is from RNAcentral.